Molecule: long non-coding RNA, 439 nt
Filed under: Rosa chinensis
Lineage: Eukaryota; Viridiplantae; Streptophyta; Magnoliopsida; Rosales; Rosaceae
Description: sRNA RchiOBHm_Chr6g0269181
Source: RNAcentral
UGCCUGUUGAGUCCCCCAAACCUGUCACAGCAGUUAAUGAGCUUGGUUCAGGACAAGGGAGUUGUUCUCGCCAUGGGGAGAAGGCUGCGGAGAAGGCUGCACAUGAUAAUAUUGAAGCUGAGGUGAAGGGUGUGAAGAAGAAGUUGGUUUUAAGAGAUGAAGUGAGCAUCGAGGUUGAAGAGGAAAUUGUGCAGCCCAGUGAUGAGAGGGUACGGUUAAACCCGAUAUUAGAAGAGGAGGUUAGAGAAGAUGUCAUUGUACUAGAGGCACCAGUACAUGGUGAAGAGGAACAAUUAGGUGAGACCAAGUAUAAACUGGCCAUUGACACGGUGGAAAACAUUGUGGCUAUUGGAACUGUCAUCAGUAUCGACCUUGAGACCAAACAGCAAACAAUCCAUGGUGUUCCACUUGGAGAGGAGAAUUUGCGUGUCUCUAUCAC